UUGAACGCACAUUGCGCCCUCUGGUAUUCCGGAGGGCAUGCCUGUUCGAGCGUCAUUU
Molecule: ribosomal RNA, 58 nt
Filed under: Phyllosticta capitalensis
Lineage: Eukaryota; Fungi; Ascomycota; Dothideomycetes; Botryosphaeriales; Phyllostictaceae
Description: 5.8S ribosomal RNA
Rfam family: 5.8S ribosomal RNA
About the family: 5.8S ribosomal RNA (5.8S rRNA) is a component of the large subunit of the eukaryotic ribosome. It is transcribed by RNA polymerase I as part of the 45S precursor that also contains 18S and 28S rRNA.
Source: RNAcentral